GAAAUGCGAUAAGUAGUGUGAAUUGCAGAAUUCAGUGAAUCAUCGAAUCUUUGAACGCACAUUGCGCCCCCUGGCAUUCCGGGGAGCAUGCCCGUUUCAGAAUCAUCAGGUAACUCAUGCCGCACCAGGCGUGUGCCACACACGUCGGGUGAGGCUUGGAGGUUGGGCGGUUUGUGGCCUGGACGCAAUCCCCUCAAAAUGAUGGUGCGUGCCGCCACGGUUCGGUCGGCUUGGGCCUCAAAAAGCGCAACAGAGUUGAUCUAUUUCGCUGAGAGGCUCCCGUCUGGAUUUGGGGAAGCACGGUUGGACCCCCGCCCCUAACGGCGGGCGGCCCCACUUUGGUAACUUGGUCUGAAAUCGGGCGGGAGGACCCGCUGAACUUAA
RNAcentral lists this unclassified non-coding RNA (384 nucleotides) under uncultured fungus. RNAcentral's name for it is "sequence contains ITS1". The stretch from base 1 to 105 matches the Rfam family "5.8S ribosomal RNA", at positions 50 to 154 of the family's 154-position model. The record is from RNAcentral. Lineage: Eukaryota; Fungi.